UAAUACGGAGGGUGCGAGCGUUGUCCGGAAUCACUGGGCGUAAAGGGCGCGUAGGCGGCCUGAUAAGUAGGGGGUGAAAUCCUGCGGCUUAACCGCAGGGCUGCCUUCUAAACUGUCAGGCUCGAGCACAGUAGAGGCAGGUGGAAUUCCCGGUGUAGCGGUGGAAUGCGUAGAGAUCGGGAAGAACAUCAGUGGCGAAGGCGGCCUGCUGGGCUGUUGCUGACGCUGAGGCGCGACAGCGUGGGGAGCAAACAGGAUUAGAUACCCUGGUAGUCCACGCCCUAAACGAUGAUUACUCGAUGUGUGCGAUACACUGCACGCGUCUGAGCGAAAGCAUUAAGUAAUCCACCUGGGGAAUACGGUCGCAAGAUUG
RNAcentral lists this ribosomal RNA (373 nucleotides) under uncultured bacterium. RNAcentral's name for it is "bacterial SSU rRNA". It matches the Rfam family "Bacterial small subunit ribosomal RNA", at positions 521 to 896 of the family's 1533-position model. The record is from RNAcentral.